RNAcentral lists this ribosomal RNA (429 nucleotides) under Bacillota bacterium. RNAcentral describes it as "Firmicutes bacterium partial 16S ribosomal RNA". It matches the Rfam family "Bacterial small subunit ribosomal RNA", at positions 355 to 776 of the family's 1533-position model. The record is from RNAcentral. Lineage: Bacteria; Bacillati; Bacillota.
UGGGGAAUUUUGGACAAUGGGCGAAAGCCUGAUCCAGCAAUGCCGCGUGUGUGAAGAAGGCCUUCGGGUUGCAAAGCACUUUUGUCCGGAAAGAAAUGGCUCUGGUUAAUACCUGGGGUCGAUGACGGUACCGGAAGAAUAAGGACCGGCUAACUACGUGCCAGCAGCCGCGGUAAUACGUAGGGUCCAAGCGUUAAUCGGAAUUACUGGGCGUAAAGCGUGCGCAGGCGGUUGUGCAAGACCGAUGUGAAAUCCCCGAGCUUAACUUGGGAAUUGCAUUGGUGACUGCACGGCUAGAGUGUGUCAGAGGGGGGUAGAAUUCCACGUGUAGCAGUGAAAUGCGUAGAGAUGUGGAGGAAUACCGAUGGCGAAGGCAGCCCCCUGGGAUAACACUGACGCUCAUGCACGAAAGCGUGGGGAGCAAACAGG